Ceratotherium simum simum (southern white rhinoceros) is the source of this 269-nucleotide non-coding RNA. The record is from RefSeq and is a predicted model, not a curated record. Lineage: Eukaryota; Metazoa; Chordata; Mammalia; Perissodactyla; Rhinocerotidae.
CAGGGGUCUCUGGACAUUAACUUUCACCUCCUCCUGGGUCAAAUCGUGAGGAUAAAAGGAGUGAGACUUGUUAUCAGCACAGGGAGAGAGCAGAGGGCUUCAGGUGCUCUGGGCCCCUUGGUGACUGUCCCAGUCUGGCUGCCCUGCGAGAUGCUCUAAAAAGACCCUAGGUGCCUCUCCAUGGGCAGCUCUCCUAAGACCCUUGACCUUCAAAUCCCUGCUGGAGCUGGAGGCAGAAAUGUUCUGGGUCUGCAAAACAGUUAAGGGAC